RNAcentral lists this ribosomal RNA (253 nucleotides) under uncultured bacterium. Its description in RNAcentral is "partial 16S ribosomal RNA". It matches the Rfam family "Bacterial small subunit ribosomal RNA", at positions 524 to 776 of the family's 1533-position model. The record is from RNAcentral.
UACGAAGGGGGCUAGCGUUGCUCGGAAUCACUGGGCGUAAAGGGUGCGUAGGCGGGUUUCUAAGUCAGAGGUGAAAUCCUGGAGCUCAACUCCAGAACUGCCUUUGAUACUGGAAGUCUUGAGUAUGGGAGAGGUGAGUGGAACUGCGAGUGUGGAGGUGAAAUUCGUAGAUAUUCGCAAGAACACCAGUGGCGAAGGCGGCUCACUGGCCCAUUACUGACGCUGAGGCACGAAAGCGUGGGGAGCAAACAGG